UACGUAGGGCGCAAGCGUUGUCCGGAUUUAUUGGGCGUAAAGAGCUCGUAGGCGGUUUGUCGCGUCUGCCGUGAAAGUCCGGGGCUCAACUCCGGAUCUGCGGUGGGUACGGGCAGACUAGAGUGAUGUAGGGGAGACUGGAAUUCCUGGUGUAGCGGUGAAAUGCGCAGAUAUCAGGAGGAACACCGAUGGCGAAGGCAGGUCUCUGGGCAUUAACUGACGCUGAGGAGCGAAAGCAUGGGGAGCGAACAGG
RNAcentral lists this ribosomal RNA (253 nucleotides) under uncultured bacterium. RNAcentral's name for it is "partial 16S ribosomal RNA". It matches the Rfam family "Bacterial small subunit ribosomal RNA", at positions 524 to 776 of the family's 1533-position model. The record is from RNAcentral.